RNAcentral lists this ribosomal RNA (497 nucleotides) under uncultured bacterium. Its description in RNAcentral is "partial 16S ribosomal RNA". It matches the Rfam family "Bacterial small subunit ribosomal RNA", at positions 28 to 507 of the family's 1533-position model. The record is from RNAcentral.
GAUGAACGCUGGCGGCGUGCCUAAUACAUGCAAGUCGAGCGAACAGAUAAGGAGCUUGCUCCUUUGACGUUAGCGGCGGACGGGUGAGUAACACGUGGGUAACCUACCUAUAAGACUGGGAUAACUUCGGGAAACCGGAGCUAAUACCGGAUAACAUUUGGAACCGCAUGGUUCUAAAGUGAAAGAUGGUUUUGCUAUCACUUAUAGAUGGACCCGCGCCGUAUUAGCUAGUUGGUAAGGUAACGGCUUACCAAGGCAACGAUACGUAGCCGACCUGAGAGGGUGAUCGGCCACACUGGAACUGAGACACGGUCCAGACUCCUACGGGAGGCAGCAGUAGGGAAUCUUCCGCAAUGGGCGAAAGCCUGACGGAGCAACGCCGCGUGAGUGAUGAAGGAGUUCGGCUCGGAAAACUCUGUUAUUAGGGAAGAACAAAUGUGUAAGUAACUGUGCACGUCCUGACGGUACCUAAUCAGAAAGCCACGGCUAACCACGUG